UUUAAUGCUGUGUUGUGUUGACUCUAGAUCCCAUUGAUGUCUUCAUACUGAUAGACAAAACUGGAACCAUUCAUAAAGUGAAGUAAAGCCAUCCAGUGACAAUGAUAACAAUAUUCUCAUUUCUUACCAAGAAUGCUCCCAGAGAAUCUGGCAAGCAUGACAGGAUGGAGAAUACACUUGGUGACAUAUUCGAGAUUCUUCUAGAUCCAGCCUGCUCCCACCUCACCAGGUCCUCAGGCAGAAGAAGCUGUUGUUAAACCUCUGUCUGAGUUGAUUGCCUUUCAUUCCCAUCUUAUUCCAGUAAGCCGGUGCCCAGUGUGUGUGAUUGAAUUAUAAUUAAAGCAGCAUUCAUCCUCUAAAGGGAGACACAAUGAAACGACAGAUGGAGUGAAGUGUGCUCUGAUGGCAUGUGAGCAAUUGUCACCAAAUAGAUUUAAGAUGUGAUCUUUUAUAGUCUCAACCACAAAUGUUCUUUUAAAAACAAGAAAUAAAAAAAAAUUCCAAAC
This 506-nucleotide long non-coding RNA is filed under the name Fukomys damarensis (Damara mole-rat). Its description in RNAcentral is "lncRNA (ENSFDAG00000024218.1)". Lineage: Eukaryota; Metazoa; Chordata; Mammalia; Rodentia; Bathyergidae. The record is from RNAcentral.